UACGUAGGGGGCAAGCGUUGUCCGGAUUUAUUGGGCGUAAAGAGCGUGUAGGCGGCCAAACAGGUCAGCUGUGAAAACUCGAGGCUCAACCUCGAGACGUCGGUUGAAACCGUUUGGCUAGAGUCCGGAAGAGGAGAGUGGAAUUCCCGGUGUAGCGGUGAAAUGCGCAGAUAUCGGGAGGAACACCAAUGGCGAAGGCAGCUCGCUGGGACGGUACUGACGCUGAGACGCGAAAGCGUGGGGAGCAAACAGG
Molecule: ribosomal RNA, 253 nt
Filed under: uncultured bacterium
Lineage: Bacteria
Description: partial 16S ribosomal RNA
Rfam family: Bacterial small subunit ribosomal RNA
Source: RNAcentral